This 495-nucleotide ribosomal RNA is filed under the name uncultured bacterium. RNAcentral's name for it is "partial 16S ribosomal RNA". It matches the Rfam family "Bacterial small subunit ribosomal RNA", at positions 28 to 507 of the family's 1533-position model. The record is from RNAcentral.
GACGAACGCUGGCGGCGUGCCUAAUACAUGCAAGUAGAACGCUGAAGGAGGAGCUUGCUCUUCUGGAUGAGUUGCGAACGGGUGAGUAACGCGUAGGUAACCUGCCUGGUAGCGGGGGAUAACUAUUGGAAACGAUAGCUAAUACCGCAUAACAGUAGAUGUUGCAUGACAUUUACUUAAAAGGUACACUUGCAUAACUACCAGAUGGACCUGCGUUGUAUUAGCUAGUUGGUGGGGUAACGGCUCACCAAGGCGACGAUACAUAGCCGACCUGAGAGGGUGAUCGGCCACACUGGGACUGAGACACGGCCCAGACUCCUACGGGAGGCAGCAGUAGGGAAUCUUCGGCAAUGGACGGAAGUCUGACCGAGCAACGCCGCGUGAGUGAAGAAGGUUUUCGGAUCGUAAAGCUCUGUUGUAAGAGAAGAACGAGUGUGAGAGUGGAAAGUUCACAAUGUGACGGUAUCUUACCAGAAAGGGACGGCUAACUACGUG